GACGAACGCUGGCGGCGCGCCUAACACAUGCAAGUCGAACGAGAGAUGAGGAGCUUGCUCCUUCAAAUCGAGUGGCGAACGGGUGAGUAACGCGUGAGGAACCUGCCUCAAAGAGGGGGACAACAGUUGGAAACGACUGCCAAUACCGCAUAAGCCCACGGCUCGGCAUCGAGCAGAGGGAAAAGGAGCAAUCCGCUUUGAGAUGGCCUCGCGUCCGAUUAGCUAGUUGGUGAGGUAACGGCCCACCAAGGCGACGAUCGGUAGCCGGACUGAGAGGUUGAACGGCCACAUUGGGACUGAGACACGGCCCAGACUCCUACGGGAGGCAGCAGUGGGGAAUAUUGCACAAUGGGGGAAACCCUGAUGCAGCGACGCCGCGUGGAGGAAGAAGGUCUUCGGAUUGUAAACUCCUGUUGUUGAGGAAGAUAAUGACGGUACUCAACAAGGAAGUGACGGCUAACUACGUGCCAGCAGCCGCGGUAAAACGUAGGUCACAAGCGUUGUCCGGAAUUACUGGGUGUAAAGGGAGCGCAGGCGGGAGAACAAGUUGGAAGUGAAAUCCAUGGGCUCAACCCAUGAACUGCUUUCAAAACUGUUUUUCUUGAGUAGUGCAGAGGUAGGCGGAAUUCCCGGUGUAGCGGUGGAAUGCGUAGAUAUCGGGAGGAACACCAGUGGCGAAGGCGGCCUACUGGGCACCAACUGACGCUGAGGCUCGAAAGUGUGGGUAGCAAACAGGAUUAGAUACCCUGGUAGUCCACACCGUAAACGAUGAUUACUAGGUGUUGGAGGAUUGACCCCUUCAGUGCCGCAGUUAACACAAUAAGUAAUCCACCUGGGGAGUACGACCGCAAGGUUGAAACUCAAAGGAAUUGACGGGGGCCCGCACAAGCAGUGGAGUAUGUGGUUUAAUUCGACGCAACGCGAAGAACCUUACCAAGUCUUGACAUCCCUUGACGAUGCUGGAAACAGUAUUUCUCUUCGGAGCAAGGAGACAGGUGGUGCAUGGUUGUCGUCAGCUCGUGUCGUGAGAUGUUGGGUUAAGUCCCGCAACGAGCGCAACCCUUAUGGUCAGUUACUACGCAAGAGGACUCUGGCCAGACUGCCGUUGACAAAACGGAGGAAGGUGGGGAUGACGUCAAAUCAUCAUGCCCUUUAUGACUUGGGCUACACACGUACUACAAUGGCGUUAAACAAAGAGAAGCAAGACCGCGAGGUGGAGCAAAACUCAGAAACAACGUCCCAGUUCGGACUGCAGGCUGCAACUCGCCUGCACGAAGUCGGAAUUGCUAGUAAUCGUGGAUCAGCAUGCCACGGUGAAUACGUUCCCGGGCCUU
This 1334-nucleotide ribosomal RNA is filed under the name uncultured bacterium. RNAcentral describes it as "bacterial SSU rRNA". It matches the Rfam family "Bacterial small subunit ribosomal RNA", at positions 28 to 1382 of the family's 1533-position model. The record is from RNAcentral.